RNAcentral lists this ribosomal RNA (266 nucleotides) under uncultured prokaryote. RNAcentral's name for it is "partial 16S ribosomal RNA". It matches the Rfam family "Bacterial small subunit ribosomal RNA", at positions 526 to 792 of the family's 1533-position model. The record is from RNAcentral.
CGUAGGGGCAAGCGUUAUCCGGAUUUACUGGGUGUAAAGGGAGCGCAGACGGAACUGCAAGUCUGAUGUGAAAGCCCGGGGCUCAACCGCGGGACUGCAUUGGAAACUGUAGAUCUGGAGUGCCGGAGGGGCAAGCGGAAUUCCUGGUGUAGCGGUGAAAUGCGUAGAUAUCAGGAGGAACACCGGCGGCGAAGGCGGCUUGCUGGACGGCAACUGACGUUGAGGCUCGAAAGCGUGGGGAGCAAACAGGAUUAGAUACCCUGGUA